GAAAGUCAUGUUAAGGGAGGAGUGUAAAUCUCUCCCGAAAACCACCCUAGGUGUUUUGUUGUUGUUUUGUUUUUUAAAGGAAUCCAUCCACAAGGCAAUGAGUUAUGGGUGAAGAAGAGAUAAACGCAUGCGGGAGGGAUGCCUCCACUGUCCAUCCUGCCCUCAAGUUAUCCAAAGACCUUCAGACCAGAGGCCACGCUCCCUCACCUCAUACAGCAGCUGCCACUGGGCUGGGAAGAGGCACAAGGACUGUCCCCGAUGGAUGCUGUGGGAGCCUGUGAAAUUAGCAAGGUUCAGACUUUAGCCUCGAAGUAG
RNAcentral lists this long non-coding RNA (315 nucleotides) under Vulpes vulpes (red fox). RNAcentral's name for it is "lncRNA (ENSVVUG00000005376.1)". Lineage: Eukaryota; Metazoa; Chordata; Mammalia; Carnivora; Canidae. The record is from RNAcentral.